GCUUCAUUGCCAAGGUUUUCUUUUUUCAGCUAAGAUUGGAGUGGACUUCUGGGUAACCAAGCAAAAGUUUUUGGAUUGAAUGGUGGGCAGAAAGCCUAAAACCGAAGCAGCCUGACACAAAGCCCAUGUGUUCUCAUUGUAUUGGAUUCUUGAAAGCUUCGUGGGCUUUAGUUACUUGUGAAGUUCACGUCUCAACAACGCUGGACCACUUCCUCUCUUCUUUCUAACCCAUGUUUCUCUCACAAUUCAAAGCCUUUUUU
Molecule: unclassified non-coding RNA, 260 nt
Filed under: Hevea brasiliensis (rubber tree)
Lineage: Eukaryota; Viridiplantae; Streptophyta; Magnoliopsida; Malpighiales; Euphorbiaceae
Source: RNAcentral